GGGUAAAAGUCGUAACAAGGUCUCCGUUGGUGAACCAGCGGAGGGAUCAUUACAGGACUCGCAAGACUCCUACAACCCUGUGAACUUAACUAUAAGCACGUUGCUUCGGCGGGUGUCUCGGAGGGGGUUCUCCCUCCCCGAGACGCUAAACCCGCCGGCAGCCUACUAUACUCUGUCUCUUUGCGUUGGCAUCUCGAGUACAAUCAAACAAGUUAAAACUUUCAACAACGGAUCUCUUGGUUCUG
RNAcentral lists this unclassified non-coding RNA (245 nucleotides) under plant metagenome. RNAcentral's name for it is "partial contains small subunit ribosomal RNA, internal transcribed spacer 1, and 5.8S ribosomal RNA". The stretch from base 1 to 52 matches the Rfam family "Eukaryotic small subunit ribosomal RNA", at positions 1780 to 1831 of the family's 1831-position model. The record is from RNAcentral.